RNAcentral lists this ribosomal RNA (379 nucleotides) under uncultured eukaryote. RNAcentral's name for it is "SSU rRNA". It matches the Rfam family "Eukaryotic small subunit ribosomal RNA", at positions 587 to 972 of the family's 1831-position model. The record is from RNAcentral.
AGCUCCAGUAGCGUAUAUUAAUGUUGUUGCAGUUAAAAAGCUCGUAGUUGGAUUUCUAGCCGACAUGCGUGGUCCGCUUCGCUUUGCGUCGUGAGUACCGCAGCGUGUCGUCUAUCCUAUUCGUUGCCCUUGGCUUCGGUCGAGGGUCGACGGAUUCUUUUACUUUGAAAAAAUUAGAGUGUUUAAAGCAGGCUUUCGCCUUGAAUACAUUAGCAUGGAAUAAUAACAUAGGACUUCGGUCUCUAUUUUGUUGGUUUCUGGAACUGAAGUAAUGAUUGAUAGGGAUAGUUGGGGGUGCUAGUAUUUAGCGGCCAGAGGUGAAAUUCUCGGAUUCGCUAAAGACUAACUUAUGCGAAAGCAUUCACCAAGGAUGUCUUCU